UACGUAGGUGGCGAGCGUUGUCCGGAUUUAUUGGGCGUAAAGGGCGCGCAGGUGGUGCGGUGGGUCCGUCGUGAAAUCUCCUGGCUCAACUGGGAGGGGGCGGCGGAGACUGCCGGACUGGAGGCACUCAGAGGCCGGUGGAAUUCCCGGUGUAGUGGUGAAAUGCGUAGAGAUCGGGAGGAACACCAGUGGCGAAGGCGGCCGGCUGGGGGUGACCUGACGCUGAGGCGCGAAAGCGUGGGGAGCGAACCGG
Molecule: ribosomal RNA, 253 nt
Filed under: uncultured bacterium
Lineage: Bacteria
Description: partial 16S ribosomal RNA
Rfam family: Bacterial small subunit ribosomal RNA
Source: RNAcentral